RNAcentral lists this small RNA (79 nucleotides) under Flavobacterium xanthum. Its description in RNAcentral is "Flavo-1 RNA". Lineage: Bacteria; Pseudomonadati; Bacteroidota; Flavobacteriia; Flavobacteriales; Flavobacteriaceae. The record is from RNAcentral.
GAUGAACGGCAAAGCAGUGGAAACGCUUUUCUAUUAUUCUUAAAAAAAGAAAAGAUUAGAACAAAUAGCGCGAAGAUUC